AACGAACGCUGGCGGCAUGCCUAACACAUGCAAGUCGAACGAGACCUUCGGGUCUAUUGGCGCACGGGUGCGUAACGCGUGGGAACCUGCCCUUAGGUUCGGAAUAACUCCCCGAAAGGGGUGCUAAUACCGGAUAAUGUCUUCGCACCAAAGAUUUAUCGCCUUUGGAUGGGCCCGCGUUGGAUUAGCUAGUUGGUAGGGUAAAAGCCUACCAAGGCGACGAUCCAUAGCUGGUCUGAGAGGAUGAUCAGCCACACUGGGACUGAGACACGGCCCAGACUCCUACGGGAGGGAGCAGUGGGGAAUAUUGGACGCUGGGCGAAAGCCUGAUCCAGCAAUGCCGCGUGAGUGAUGAAGGCCUUAGGGUUGUAAAGCUCUUUUACCCGGGAUGAUAAUGACAGUACCGGGAGAAUAAGCUCCGGCUAACUACGUG
RNAcentral lists this ribosomal RNA (433 nucleotides) under uncultured bacterium. RNAcentral's name for it is "partial 16S ribosomal RNA". It matches the Rfam family "Bacterial small subunit ribosomal RNA", at positions 29 to 507 of the family's 1533-position model. The record is from RNAcentral.